Long non-coding RNA from Dama dama (fallow deer), 571 nucleotides. RefSeq lists it as uncharacterized. Lineage: Eukaryota; Metazoa; Chordata; Mammalia; Artiodactyla; Cervidae. The transcript is spliced from 3 exons. The record is from RefSeq and is a predicted model, not a curated record.
GUCUCCUUCAUUCACGGCCCCUCCCUGUGCUGUGGCCUGGACACUCUCAAGGCAACUGCUGGACAACUGGGAUCUUCCAGACCCAGGGAUCAAACCUGUGUCUCCUGAUUGGCAGGCGAGUUCUUUACCACUGAGCCACCAGAGAAGCCUGAGCAAACCCUGAUGCUGGAAAAGACUGAGGGCAGGAAGAGAAGGGGACGACAGAGAAUGAAAUGGUUGGAUGGCAUCAUCAGCUCAAUGGACAUGAGGUUGAGCAAACUCCGGGAGACAGCAAAGGACAGGGAAGCCUGGUGUGCUGCAAUUCAUGGGGUUGCAUAGAGUUGGACAUGUCUGAGUGACUGAAUAACAAUGUGUUCUACUCUGAAGGCAGAAUUAUUGUUUCAAAAUGCAAAUGUGAGGCCUUCCCUGGUGCUUCAGUGACCAAGAUUCUGUGCUCCCAAAGCAGGGGGCCUGAGUUUGAUCUCUGAUUGGGGGAACUAGAUCCCACAUACUGCAGCUAAGAGUUCACAUGCCACAACUAAAGAUCCCAUUCACCUCAGAAAUGGAAGUUCCUGUGUGUUGCAAAUAAGAC